UACCAGACUCCUACGGGAGGCAGCAGUGGGGAGUAUUGCACAAUGGGGGAAACCCUGAUGCAGCGACGCCGCGUGAGCGAUGAAGUAUUUCGGUAUGUAAAGCUCUAUCAGCAGGGAAGAAAAUGACGGUACCUGGCUAAGAAGCCCUGGCUAACUACGUGCCAGCAGCCGCGGUAAUACGUAGGGGGCAAGCGUUAUCCGGAUUUAUUGGGUUUAAAGGGUGCGCAGGCGGAUUUUUAAGUCAGCGGUCAAAUCGGGGGGCUCAACCCCAUCCAGCCGUUGAAACUGGGGAUCUAGAGUGUGCGAGAGGUAUGCGGAAUGCGUGGUGUAGCGGUGAAAUGCAUAGAUAUCGCGCAGAACUCCGAUUGCGAAGGCAGCGUACCGGCGCCACACUGACGCUGAGGCACGAAAGCGUGGGGAUCGAACAGGAUUAGAUACCCUUGUAA
This 446-nucleotide ribosomal RNA is filed under the name uncultured bacterium. Its description in RNAcentral is "bacterial SSU rRNA". It matches the Rfam family "Bacterial small subunit ribosomal RNA", at positions 329 to 793 of the family's 1533-position model. The record is from RNAcentral.